GGUGAUAUGGCUGUGACAUCUGUCACCCUGAUGACUGCCAGGAUUGAUUGAACCAAUUUAGUUGUUAAGGGGGUGUCCCCUUCCUCC
Molecule: unclassified non-coding RNA, 87 nt
Organism: Ictidomys tridecemlineatus (thirteen-lined ground squirrel)
Lineage: Eukaryota; Metazoa; Chordata; Mammalia; Rodentia; Sciuridae
Gene: 7SK
Rfam family: 7SK RNA
About the family: 7SK was discovered as an abundant small nuclear RNA in the mid-70s but a possible function has only recently been suggested. Two independent studies have found that 7SK RNA binds the CDK9/cyclin T complex (known as elongation factor P-TEFb).
Source: Ensembl